Molecule: long non-coding RNA, 2184 nt
Organism: Myiozetetes cayanensis
Lineage: Eukaryota; Metazoa; Chordata; Aves; Passeriformes; Tyrannidae
Exons: 4
Source: RefSeq, a predicted model, not a curated record
GCUCCGCUUCAGCCUCCAAGCACCAAGCAACCCCUCCUCGCACCAAACGUCCCUCUUUGGAAACCAAACGCCCCCUCCUUGCCGCCGGCGAUUUCAAGUACACAACAGAACAGGCACUUGGUUUGCAUGUUUACUGUGCUAAAAACAGUUACGAGCAAUCUGGAUAGCCCUCUGUUAGCUGUGAUGAAAACAUUCUCCAGUAUAUCUGACGGUGCCUGCCACUGAAGAGGCCCAAGAAACGCUGCAGCUCGAUGGGGAAUAAGCCUUGCUUUCUAAAAUGACACAUUGAAGACCUGAUGCUGGCUUUCACCUGGGAUCAGUGCUGCAACACCAUCCCUGAUGGAUGAUAUUUGAUUAAGUACAGGAUGAGAUUUGCAUAUGGGAGCUCUGGGAUAUGUCCAGCAGUUAGGUAUGGUUGAAUGGGAAAGAAGUUAUAUGAUGCCUCGACAAUGGCAAGAGCCAAGUUAACAUCCUCACAGACGUGCUGGAGCUGGAGAGCCACAGUCAGAAACACGAAGAAGAGAGAAUGAACAGCUGGGCGGCAGGAUGUCCUCCUCACUUCUUGGCCCUCUCUAUGGACAUUUUACUUCUUCAUGACAAGUCACAGAGGGCACGUGCACUGUUCAUGGAAGAGCAAGAUACUACAGCAUACCACAUGCCCCAUCCCCAACUGCUGCUUUAAAUAUAUCCCUAAGAAGUGGCACAUUGCUGGACCACUUUCACUUGGGCAGGACUGGCUGUCGUGGGGACCUUGGAAGGGUGAGGGGCAACGCAAGACUCACAGAGCUGUUUGCCUUUUCCUGGGCAAAGCCCAGCUUGGGGUCUCUGGGUCUCACAGCUUGCAUGCCACUUGGGCUCCCGCCGUGUCUCUGAAAUGUAGGGUCAAAGCUGACAAUUAGUUUCCAGAAACAAAAAAAAAGAAAAUGAAUCUUCAAUAACCUCUGAUUUUGAGUCUUCGAAUUAUCUAGCCAGCCCAGUAGGAGAGGAACAAAAUGUUUGUCCUUCCUACACCAAAUAUUCCUUGUAAAUCUAAACAAACAAACAAACAAAAAAUCCAGAAAAAAUCCUACUGAUUUAAAGAAAAAUAUAUCUACAGGUUAAUCACAGUAAUUACUAUUUAGAUAUAAAUUAUCUGCAGAAACACAGGACGCUGCUAUUGUCUUACUGCAGCAUCACUGAAAAAUGUCUUUCAUUCAAAUUACAAGACUGAGUAUCAGUUCCAUGUUAUUUUUCCAGGAACAGAGGGCUCCAUGUAUUAUUUGUGAUGUUCCUAAUUUUUAAUUACCCCAAAUUAAAACAAUGGAAUGAUAUAUGAUGAAUGAAACCAAGCAUAUGUUAAAAACGUCUAAACAGUUUUACCUGGGAAAAUGAACAGAAACAUAAAUUGCUUGUAGUGCAUAUUUAAAAAUUCAAUAGCAAGCUAAAAUUAUAAUUUGCAUUAAUGUAUUCUGAAAUAUGAAUUAUUAAGUGAUUCACAUUGGUGCAACAAAAGCCAGUUUGGAGAACCUAGCUUUAGCCUGCAGCAUUCCUCAGCAGCCUUAUCUUCGCAGUCCCCUCUAAAUAGUGCUAAAUAUAUAAAGGAGAUUCUUCUAAUUGCAAAAAUGUCUAUAAAACACUUUUAUGAAAAAAAGAAAACCCUCUACAUUUCCAAGCAGCUUUAAAAAAACCCCAACACCUCUCAAACAAAAAGAAUCCAAAUAUUCAAUGCUAUUCAAGUUUCCUUCCUUUUUUUAACCCCCUUUGUACUUUGCACUCCUGUAAUUUUUUUUUUUUGCUUUAAUCCCAGUCAUCAUGUAGGUUUUUUUUUUUUUUUAAUCCCUUCAUUCUUGCACAGACUUUCAUUGUUUAGAGGUCAAGGAAACGAGCUGCUAGAGGAAAGCAUGGCAAGAGCCCAUGCCUGCAGUGCUGUGGAGUAGCUGGGGACAGUGGUGGGUGUGCAGACUGGACCCGGGGCCUGUGGCAGCAUCCUGGAGGAGCACCAGGUGGUGGGACAAGGAGGAUUCCCCAGCUGUGGGCCAGGAGCACUGUCUUUCUUCUCUGGACAGUGGCAGAGGGGCAGGAGGGAUUGUGCAAGUUGGGAAGUCUGACUGAAACAUCCAGUGCUUUAUCCAGUGAAAUCUUAGUUUGUGGAGUAAUACUUCCUCCUCUGCAUUGUGUAAGAAGGGGGAAACCUGUCAGCGAGGU